GACGAACGCUGGCGGCGUGCCUAAUACAUGCAAGUCGAACGCUGAAGGAGGAGCUUGCUCUUCUGGAUGAGUUGCGAACGGGUGAGUAACGCGUAGGUAACCUGCCUGGUAGCGGGGGAUAACUAUUGGAAACGAUAGCUAAUACCGCAUAAUAGUAGAUGUUGCAUGAUAUUUACUUAAAAGGUGCAAUUGCACCACUACCAGAUGGACCUGCGUUGUAUUAGCUAGUUGGUGGGGUAACGGCUCACCAAGGCGACGAUACAUAGCCGACCUGAGAGGGGGAUCGGCCACACUGGGACGGAGACCCGGCCCAGACUCCUGCGGGAGGCAGCAGUAGGGAAUCUUCGGCAAUGGACGGAAGUCUGACCGAGCAACGCCGCGUGAGUGAAGAAGGUUGUCGGAUCGUAAAGCUCUGUUGUAAGAGAAGAACGAGUGUGAGAGUGGAAAGUUCACACUGUGACGGUAUCUUACCAGAAAGGGACGGCUAACUACGUG
RNAcentral lists this ribosomal RNA (495 nucleotides) under uncultured bacterium. RNAcentral's name for it is "partial 16S ribosomal RNA". It matches the Rfam family "Bacterial small subunit ribosomal RNA", at positions 28 to 507 of the family's 1533-position model. The record is from RNAcentral.